AAAUCAUAGCCCUGGGCUGCCUGCACCAUGGCCUGGGCUACUCUCCUGCUCACACUCCUGACUCACAUUUCAGGGCUUGAAUCUCAGCUUGUGCUGACUCAGGAAUCUGCACUGUCCACCUCUCCUGGAGGGACAGUCACACUCACCUGCAGCGCCAAUACUGGAGCUAUCACAACCAACAAUUAUGCUAGUUGGGUCCAACAGAUGCCCUAUCACACAACUAAGGGGUUAAUAUAUAGCACCAGCAGCCGCUAUGCUGGUGUCCCUGCCAGAUUCUCAGGCUCCUUGCUUGGAGACAAGGCUGCCCUCACCAUCACAGGAGCCCGAUCUGAAGAUGAGGCCACCUAUUACUGUUUGAUAUGGUACAGCAACCAUUUCCACAGUGACACAUGCUUAUAG
This is a non-coding RNA of Octodon degus (degu), 399 nucleotides long. NCBI's taxonomy places the organism in Eukaryota, Metazoa, Chordata, Mammalia, Rodentia, Octodontidae. The record is from the annotation of a RefSeq genome assembly.